AGUAACACGUGAGCAACCUGCCUUUCAGUGGGGGACGAACAUUUGGAAACGAAUGCUAAUACCGCAUAAGACCACAGUGUCGCAUGGCACAGGGGUCAAAGGAUUUAUCCGCUGAAAGAUGGGCUCGCGUCCGAUUAGCUAGAUGGUGAGGUAACGGCCCACCAUGGCGACGAUCGGUAGCCGGACUGAGAGGUUGAACGGCCACAUUGGGACUGAGACACGGCCCAGACUCCUACGGGAGGCAGCAUG
This 249-nucleotide ribosomal RNA is filed under the name uncultured bacterium. RNAcentral's name for it is "partial 16S ribosomal RNA". It matches the Rfam family "Bacterial small subunit ribosomal RNA", at positions 109 to 353 of the family's 1533-position model. The record is from RNAcentral.